GUGCUUCCUUCUGAAGCACAGAUACUAAAAUUGGAGCUACGCAGAGGUUAGCACUGUCCUUCCGAAAGGGUGAUAAGCAAAUUCAUGAAGCUGCCCCUAUUUUA
This 104-nucleotide small nuclear RNA is filed under the name Chinchilla lanigera (long-tailed chinchilla). The record is from RNAcentral. Lineage: Eukaryota; Metazoa; Chordata; Mammalia; Rodentia; Chinchillidae.